This 429-nucleotide ribosomal RNA is filed under the name uncultured bacterium. RNAcentral describes it as "bacterial SSU rRNA". It matches the Rfam family "Bacterial small subunit ribosomal RNA", at positions 355 to 776 of the family's 1533-position model. The record is from RNAcentral.
UGGGGAAUAUUGGACAAUGGGGGGAACCCUGAUCCAGCAAUGCCGCGUGUGUGAAGAAGGCCUUCGGGUUGUAAAGCACUUUAGUUUGGGAAGAAGGCUUAUAGUUUAAGAGACAAUAAGUUUGACGGUACCGAAAGAAUAAGCACCGGCUAACUCUGUGCCAGCAGCCGCGGUAAUACAGAGGGUGCAAGCGUUAAUCGGAGUUACUGGGCGUAAAGGGCGCGUAGGCGGUUAGUUAAGAUAGAUGUGAAAUCCCUGGGCUUAACCUAGGAACUGCAUCUGUGACUGUCUAGCUAGAGUACAGUAGAGGGUAGUGGAAUUUCCGGUGUAGCGGUGAAAUGCGUAGAGAUCGGAAGGAACACCAGUGGCGAAGGCGACUACCUGGACUGAUACUGACGCUGAUGCGCGAAAGCGUGGGGAGCAAACAGG